Rhododendron vialii is the source of this 555-nucleotide long non-coding RNA. RefSeq lists it as uncharacterized. The transcript is spliced from 3 exons. Lineage: Eukaryota; Viridiplantae; Streptophyta; Magnoliopsida; Ericales; Ericaceae. The record is from RefSeq and is a predicted model, not a curated record.
AUGGCCUCUUUGUAGGUAUCGCAUGUAAGCUAAACCAUGUUCACACACUUGAUUGAGUGUUGUUCGAUUCGGAGUUGGUGAUUAAUGACUUCUACAUGGACGUGUUAAGCAGUUCGCAUUGACAAGUAUUUUUGCUACGAUACCCAUAGGUGGAGUGAGGUAUCUUUGAAUGAGAAGCGCACUGCGUGCCUCUUCCAACAAAGCUUAUUUUAAGCAAAAUGAGGGCAAAAGAAGGAAAAUCAAGUGAUGAAGUUGAACAUUUCGCAGUACCUUCAAGAGCAACUGUAAGGUGGAGAGAAACUGUUUCUGCAGUGGAACUGAAGGAAUCGGAGAGUUACCCAGCUGCUUCGAAAACUUAAAACAGAAGGAUAGACGUUGAGGAUGGCCUUGAGAGACAAGAGAAGGUUGUGGUAAGCAAUCUUUCUGUCAAAAUGUAGAUACUGACUGCCUUAAGCUUUGGAGUGUGACUGUAUUUGAGAAUUUUUUUCCCCGUAUAUGUUUCCAAAUACUGCUCAAGACACCAUCAAUUCAUAUUGGUAAAAUUAGCUCCUUUCU